GUAGGACGCACAGUUUAUACCGUAGCUUGCUACACCAUAGACUGUGAGUUGCCAACGGGUGAGUAACGCGUAGGUAACCUACCUAUUAGAGGGGGAUAACUAUUGGAAACGAUAGCUAAUACCGCAUAACAGUAUGUAACACAUGUUAGAUGCUUGAAAGAUGCAAUUGCAUCGCUAGUAGAUGGACCUGCGUUGUAUUAGCUAGUAGGUAGGGUAAUGGCCUACCUAGGCAACGAUACAUAGCCGACCUGAGAGGGUGAUCGGCCACACUGGGACUGAGACACGGCCCAGACUCCUACGGGAGGCAGCAGUAGGGAAUCUUCGGCAAUGGGGGGAACCCUGACCGAGCAACGCCGCGUGAGUGAAGAAGGUUUUCGGAUCGUAAAGCUCUGUUGUUAAGGAAGAACGAGUGUGAGAAUGGAAAGUUCAUGCUGUGACGGUACUUAACCAGAAAGGGACGGCUAACUACGUGCCAGCAGCCGCGGUAAUACGUAGGUCCCGAGCGUUGUCCGGAUUUAUUGGGCGUAAAGCGAGCGCAGGCGGUUAGAAAAGUCUGAAGUGAAAGGCAGUGGCUCAACCAUUGUAGGCUUUGGAAACUGUUUAACUUGAGUGCAGAAGGGGAGAGUGGAAUUCCAUGUGUAGCGGUGAAAUGCGUAGAUAUAUGGAGGAACACCGGUGGCGAAAGCGGCUCUCUGGUCUGUAACUGACGCUGAGGCUCGAAAGCGUGGGGAGCGAACAGGAUUAGAUACCCUGGUAGUCCACGCCGUAAACGAUGAGUGCUAGGUGUUAGGUCCUUUCCGGGACUUAGCG
RNAcentral lists this ribosomal RNA (810 nucleotides) under uncultured bacterium. Its description in RNAcentral is "bacterial SSU rRNA". It matches the Rfam family "Bacterial small subunit ribosomal RNA", at positions 61 to 845 of the family's 1533-position model. The record is from RNAcentral.